AUUGAACGCUGGCGGCAGGCCUAACACAUGCAAGUCGAGCGGAUGAAGGGAGCUUGCUCCUGGAUUCAGCGGCGGACGGGUGAGUAAUGCCUAGGAAUCUGCCUGGUAGUUGGGGAUAACGUCCGGAAACGGGCGCUAAUACCUCAUACGUCCUGAGGGAGAAAGUGGGGGAUCUUCGGACCUCACGCCAUCAGAUGAGCCUAGGUCGGAUUAGCUAGUUGGUGGGGUAAAGGCCUACCAAGGCGACGAUCCGUAACUGGUCUGAGAGGAUGAUCAGUCACACUGGAACUGAGACACGGUCCAGACUCCUACGGGAGGCAGCAGUGGGGAAUAUUGGACCAUGGGCGAAAGCCUGAUCCAGCCAUGCCGCGUGUGUGAAGAAGGUUUUCGGAUUGUAAAACCCUUUAAGUUGGGAGGAAGGGCAGUAAGUUAAUACCUUGCUGUUUUGACGUUACCAACAGAAUAAGCACCGGCUAACUUCGUG
This 484-nucleotide ribosomal RNA is filed under the name uncultured bacterium. RNAcentral describes it as "partial 16S ribosomal RNA". It matches the Rfam family "Bacterial small subunit ribosomal RNA", at positions 30 to 507 of the family's 1533-position model. The record is from RNAcentral.